CUCAACAAAUCAGAGCAUAGGAUGGAGCCUGCCAGAACUGCGGUGGCCAAAAACCCAACCAGAUGCUGAGCUGCUUGCAUUGUUUUCCCGCUAAAAGUGCCCCAACAGACUCAGGCCCCCAGGCUAUAUUGAAAGGCCCUAUACCAUUAAAACUACAGCAAGAAGACACUGGGGAAAGGGGAGAAUUCAGGCACCAGGGUCUUGCUGCCCAACUGCCAUUUUAAAUUCAUUGAUUCAUU
RNAcentral lists this long non-coding RNA (239 nucleotides) under Bos taurus (domestic cattle). Its description in RNAcentral is "long non-coding RNA NONBTAT014914". Lineage: Eukaryota; Metazoa; Chordata; Mammalia; Artiodactyla; Bovidae. The record is from RNAcentral.